This 82-nucleotide ribosomal RNA is filed under the name Glutamicibacter sp. HZAU. RNAcentral describes it as "partial 16S ribosomal RNA". It matches the Rfam family "Bacterial small subunit ribosomal RNA", at positions 1 to 81 of the family's 1533-position model. Lineage: Bacteria; Bacillati; Actinomycetota; Actinomycetes; Micrococcales; Micrococcaceae. The record is from RNAcentral.
UUUUAUGGAGAGUUUGAUCCUGGCUCAGGAUGAACGCUGGCGGCGUGCUUAACACAUGCAAGUCGAACGAUGAAGCCCAGCU